AAUUAUAUAGUCAAUUAUGAUAUUAAAUUGCAAAUUUAAAGGUAAUAUUUUUUUUAUAGUUU
Molecule: transfer RNA, 62 nt
Filed under: Scolytinae sp. BMNH 1043031
Lineage: Eukaryota; Metazoa; Arthropoda; Insecta; Coleoptera; Curculionidae
Description: tRNA-Cys
Source: RNAcentral